RNAcentral lists this long non-coding RNA (1227 nucleotides) under Ananas comosus (pineapple). RNAcentral's name for it is "long non-coding RNA (ACOM_LNC043409)". The record is from RNAcentral. Lineage: Eukaryota; Viridiplantae; Streptophyta; Magnoliopsida; Poales; Bromeliaceae.
AAUUUCAGAGGAAAAUCGUGUAGAUCUGCAAGAGGAAGGCACUAGGGAUUUUUAGAGAGAGAAAGAACGAAUUUUGGUUUUGAUUUGAGAGAGAAAUAAACCCUAUAUCCGGUUAUAUAAGUCGCGGCUACAGUACUCGUACCGGUACGGGAUCGUGUACCGGUACACGAUCUCAGAUUUCGAAAAUUUGAUUUGAAAAUCCAUCACAUUUAAAUUAAUUUCAUAUAAAUUAAGGUUUUACUCCAAAAAUCAUUAUAAUGAAAAUAAAAUAUUAUAAAAUUUCAAAAUACAUCGAAACAUCAAAAUUUUAUAAUCAAAACUGAUUUCAAGUUUCAAAAUUAUCAAGAUGUGAGUUGAUGAAGAAUGAUUUUUAGAAAUUCAACAAAAUUGACACCAAUUUAUCGUAAUAUGUUCAAAAUAGAGAUUUAACUAAUAUGGCACCGGGGGUGGCUCUUUGAGCAUCUUUUCAACUUACCACCUUAUACCUCCGAAAAUUCUAAAAUAUUCAAAUUUUUUUUUUUAAACUUUUUCGGUUACACAAUUUAAUCUUCAUGUGGUAGCUUCACACACUUGCCAGACGACCGGGGUGGUAGCUCUUUCCUACAUGUGGUGGUAGUUUUCACACUCCUUUAGGAUGUAACUCUUUCCACAUCUUUUUAAACAUAGGAGUUUCUUUUUCCUUUUUUUUAUUUUCAAACUCCCCCUAAAUUAGACAAUCUCACAAUUGAAAAUAAUUUUGACGAAUUUUAGUCAAUUAGAGAAUAUCCAUCCAUCAUAUCCAACACACACAACCAAGAUGAAUUAAUCACCAAGAGAUCAAAUUUGAUUUCAAAACUUUGAUGAAUAUAGGCAUUAAAAGAUCAUAUAUCAAAUUAUCGUCGAAAUAAUAAAAAGUGGAGUAAAACCGAUAAUUAAUAUGAAUUUAACUUAAUUAUCAUUGUGAAGAUAAACACCGUUCAAACACCUUUCCUUUUUUUUUAAAAAAAAAAUUUCUCUCUCCAAAUCAUAGAUCUCAAUCAUCUCUUUUCUCGAAAAUUUUUAAUUCCUAAACACAUUUUCCUCAAAAUGAUUUUUAAAUAAACAAAAAUUCAAUGCACCAAAAAUCAUUCAAACAUGUAAUGCAAUGAAUAAAAUUAAACAACAAGCACCAAUCAAAGCAUUACACUAAAGAUCAAAAAUGACUAAGACGAGGAGCAAGGAAAGAUAUCACCUUUCUAGAUCCAAACU